GUAGAUAGGCCGGGAGUGGAAGAGCCGUGAGGCUUGGAGCGGACCGGUACUAAUCAGUCGAGGACUUGACCAAAA
This 75-nucleotide ribosomal RNA is filed under the name Lactobacillus delbrueckii. RNAcentral describes it as "partial 23S ribosomal RNA". Lineage: Bacteria; Bacillati; Bacillota; Bacilli; Lactobacillales; Lactobacillaceae. The record is from RNAcentral.